UACAUUCACAAUAUGUUAGAACUGGCAGAA
RNAcentral lists this non-coding RNA (30 nucleotides) under Mus musculus (house mouse). The record is from RNAcentral. Lineage: Eukaryota; Metazoa; Chordata; Mammalia; Rodentia; Muridae.